GAUGAAGAACGUAGCGAAAUGCGAUAAUUAAUGUGAAUUGCAGAAUUCCGUGAAUCAUCGAGUCUUUGAACGCACAUUGCGCCUCAUGGCAUUCCGUGAGGCAUGCCCAUCUCAGCGUUAGAAAAUAUUCUCAAAUUUUAGUUUUGUGCUAAAAUUUGGAUCAUGUCAAGGAAGCUAUUACUAUUAUUGUGAUCGCUCUUUGGAAAUUGGUAGGUCUUUGAGUUGCUACUCAUAGAACGUGAUGAAUCUUUCUUCGUUCUAUUGUAAUUCACUCUGUUAGUCCUAAAACUUGUAUGCCUGUGGCAUAUCUUGUAAUUUGACCUGAGAUUGGGUAGGGAUACCCGCUGAACUUAAGCAUAUCAAUAAGCGGAGGA
RNAcentral lists this unclassified non-coding RNA (374 nucleotides) under soil metagenome. Its description in RNAcentral is "partial contains internal transcribed spacer 2 and large subunit ribosomal RNA". The stretch from base 1 to 120 matches the Rfam family "5.8S ribosomal RNA", at positions 35 to 154 of the family's 154-position model. The record is from RNAcentral.